Molecule: ribosomal RNA, 444 nt
Filed under: uncultured bacterium
Lineage: Bacteria
Description: SSU rRNA
Rfam family: Bacterial small subunit ribosomal RNA
Source: RNAcentral
AGAACGAACGCUGGCGGCACGCCUAACACAUGCAAGUCGAGCGCCCAGCAAUGGGAGCGGCGGACGGGUGAGGAACACGUGGGAACAUGCCUUUCGGUUCGGCACAACUGCGGGAAACUGCAGCUAAUUCCGGAUACGCCCUUACGGGGAAAGAUUUAUCGCCGAAAGAUUGGCCCGCGUCUGAUUAGCUAGUUGGUGAGGUAAUGGCUCACCAAGGCUUCGAUCAGUAGCUGGUUUGAGAGAACGACCAGCCACACUGGGACUGAGACACGGCCCAGACUCCUACGGGAGGCAGCAGUGGGGAAUCUUGGACAAUGGAGGAAACUCUGAUCCAGCGAUGCCGCGUGAGUGAUGAAGGCCUUCGGGUUGUAAAACUCUUUCGACGGGGACGAUAAUGACGGUACCCGUAGAAGAAGCUCCGGCUAACUUCGCGCCAGCAGCCGC